Vespa crabro (European hornet) is the source of this 380-nucleotide long non-coding RNA. RefSeq lists it as uncharacterized. The record is from RefSeq and is a predicted model, not a curated record. The transcript is spliced from 2 exons. NCBI's taxonomy places the organism in Eukaryota, Metazoa, Arthropoda, Insecta, Hymenoptera, Vespidae.
ACAUUUUGUUCACCACCUUUUGCUAAUAAUAGUAUGUGACUUCAGCGACAAAUACGGAAAAAAUGUGAAUUACACGCACAAUCAGAAACAUUGUCCCUAUGCAUUUAUUGCAUCCCACUAUGCAUUUAUUGCAUCAGAGCUUAAACUUAUACAAAUAGCCAUAUUUAAGCAGCCAAUAAUACAAUAUUACUUGCGAUGAAAUAAUAAUAAAAAUGACAUAUAAAAUAUAACAUAUAAAAUAUAAUGGCAAGAACAGUAAAAAAAAGAUCGCAGAUGCUUAUUUUGAAUUUUAAAUGUGGUUAUAAUGUUGAACACAAGUAGAAUAGAAAAUACGGCUUUCUUGAAUUUUUGAAAAAGUUUUAUUUUUAUGUAUAAACUAU